RNAcentral lists this long non-coding RNA (265 nucleotides) under Lathyrus oleraceus (garden pea). Its description in RNAcentral is "Pisum sativum (pea) long non-coding RNA (PSAT_LNC042252)". Lineage: Eukaryota; Viridiplantae; Streptophyta; Magnoliopsida; Fabales; Fabaceae. The record is from RNAcentral.
AGACACUUCAAAGGUGGCAUCUUCAAAAGCUUGUUAAAUCAAAGUUAGAAUUGUGUGGCAUGAGCCUUAAGUAAUAGAGAAGGAGUGGGAUUGGAGUAUUCCUACCCCCAUUCUGAGUAUCUUUGGGUAUGGGAAGUAUGACCCAGCGCUCAACGUAUUCAUCUCUAUUCAUAGGCUUUAGCACAAUUCUAAUUAUACGAUUGACAAGUCUCCCUCUCUUCACAAAGCACCAUACAACAAGCAAGGACUACAUCAACAACUUAUC